Non-coding RNA from Chrysemys picta bellii (western painted turtle), 3214 nucleotides. Lineage: Eukaryota; Metazoa; Chordata; Testudines; Emydidae. The record is from RefSeq and is a predicted model, not a curated record.
ACGAUCAGCAGCGCGUGCCUCCGUAGCUCCCAGCCGCGGCGCCCGCCAGACAGCCCGGGCGCUGCUGUAUCCAUGGCAACCGCCCCGUCAAUGAUCUCCAUGGAAACCUCUAGCCGCUACUGCAGCGCGAAGCAGCCAUCCCAGAAGACUUCUCAGAGAGAACACGUAGACAAUGGAGACUGCUUGACCAAUGAGGGUGGACUCCACCUCACAAGCAUAGAUCUUUCCUGCAAUUUGAAAGAAACUGUAAAAGACGGUCACUCCCCCCAUAACUGAACACCUGGAAACACAUCUGGAGGACAAAGACUUUGAACCGGGGAGGGUCAUCCCAGGCUGGGAGGCAGUUCCAGCCUGUAUAUUGAAGAUCUGCAACCUGUUUAUACCAUCUGUCAGGGUGAGACACUGCUUAAUUCAAAUCCCAUUUAGAUUGUAGAAUUCAGACUGUGAAUUUAGUUUUGUUUCUUAGGUAACCAACUUUUAUCUGUAUGCUUGCUACUUAUAAUCACUUAAAAUCUAUCUUUCUGUAGUUAAUAAAUCUGUUCUAUAUUUUACCUAAAACAGUGUGUUUUGUUUGAAGUGCUCAGGAAAUCUGCUCAGGUUACAAAAGCUGGUGUACGUCCACUUUCUUUUGUAGAAGUGGCGAACUGCAUAAUGCUUUUAAAUCAAGAUUGGAUGUUUUUCUGAAAGCUAUGAUAUAGAAAUUAUUUUGGGGAAGUUCUAUGGCCUGUGUUAUAGAGGCGGUUAGACUAGAUUAUCAUAAUGGUCACUUCUGGCCUUGAAAUCUAUGAAUCUAUGCAAGAAACGUUUAAAGUAGAAAGUCCAGGGGAACUUGUAAAGAGCGAGAACUUUCCAUCAGAAUCUGUGUCUACAGGGCUAACUUUGUUUUAAAGUGCACAGGAUUACUAGGAAUCAAAGGCUCAGGAAGUAGAGUUCCUUCUAAACUUGAAGGGUUUUUAGUGGCAAAAUGUUUACAGUGUUAAAGAAGAAUCAUCAGGUCUCCCCCAAAUUUGUAGGCAGUCAUAUGAUGAGACUGAACCCUGAUUGCCAUCCUAGUAACCAGCAGAACAGCUUUAGGUUUUGAUGCUGAAAAUGAUUAAAUUUGAUAAUAUUAUUUAACUUUGACAGCAUUUCCCAGUAGAAAUGGUUGGAGCUGUGCUGCCAUUUAUACUGGGGUUUCUUGGAUGAGGUUGGGAAGGGUCUGUGGAGAGAGACGCAAAGAGGAAAGGCUCUCUGUUCUGACAAACCACCCACUGCUCCUCACCGACCUCUUAGGUCAGGGGUCCCCAACGCGGUGCCCGCGGGCACCAUGGCGCCUGCCGGGGUGUCUAAGUGGACCCGCGUACUGGCCAGCAGACGAGCAUCCGCCAAAAUGCCGUCGAGAAGCAGCGUCAUCCAGCGACGUCGCCUCUGGAUGACGCUGCUUCUCGGUGGCAUUUCGACGGUGACACCUAUUAAUGUUGCCGCUUGUUGGUGGCAUUUCGGCGGAUGCUCGUCCGCUGCCAUGGUCCUCCGUGGUGCCAGACAAAAAAGGUUGGGGACCACUAUCUUAGGUGAUUUGUCAGGGCACCUCUUCCCUCUCCACUACUCUCUUAUAAAAGGCCCUGUGAGAUGCUCAGUGUCUCCUGUGAGAUCCUGAACACACUUAGUUUCCAUCAGUGUUAAGACCUAAGCACAUACCUCUUAACAACCCCUUCCCCCCCCCGCCCCCCAAGCUACUGCAUGUUCUCAGUAUACAAUUUUCAAAGUCUCUUAGCUUUGUAAAAUAAAAACAAUUAUUUUUCAAACUAAGCAAAAGCACUAAUCCUCAGAGGACUAUAUCCAGGCAAAGUUUCAACUUGGAAACAUGGAAAGAGAUUCUACGGCUUGAAAUUUUUAAUGCAAGAAAACUAUUUGUUCAUUUUUCCACAAUUAAAAAUGGUUGAAACAAUGUAAUUUAUGUUAAAAUAAACAAUUCACCUUCAGGCAGAAAACAAGCAUAGAAAAUAUUUGAUCCAAAGGUGAAUGCAUUGGAAAACUAUUAAUAUGCAAAAAUGGAAGAUUAUAACCAAGUAUUCUGCAACCUUUACUCUAAUUGUUGCUAACAGCCCACCUGCUCAAAGUAUCUGCACACGCUGCUAGGCAUAUGGAGGAAAGUGCAGUUCCUUUGAGCAAGUGGGGGCUGUUAGCAACUGCUAGAGUUAAAGUUGCAAAAUACUUGCUGUUGUUAUCUUCCUUUCAUUUUGUCUUACUGCAGCUGUAAGGUGAUGAGUCAUCCCUGAACUAGAGCCUGAUUAAGCCAUGUACACUAAUAAGUCAUUCCUGUGCUAGGCACCAGCCAAUCCACAACCCAGGAGAUGGUCUGGUGACUUUUAGGGUAGGUAUAUAAGCCUCACAGGCGGCACAGCAGAGCAGCUCACCCUGAUGAAUGUUACUUGAGAGCUGUGAACUUGCUCCUGUCUGAGAAUAGCAGUGGAUGUGCCAAACCUUAGCCUGCUCUAGCUUUGCUCUCACUCUGGUCUUGUUCCAACUUCAUACUGGACUCCUGAGUCCAGCUGUGACCAUUAGGAAUGACUAUCCUCAUCAUGGUUGCUGACUUGUAGGCUUGUAAGAUGAAUAUUGUUAAUUCUUCUCCAGUAAGACUGUCCAAAUAAAUUUAUUUCUAUUUAACUUACAACCUUAGAUGCACAUACAUAGCAUUUUGUAUUACUGUAGAUGUUUUGAUUGUAUAAUAAAAGACCCUAUGGUAAUAUGUCCAACAGGAAAGCUAAACUGUUGAGAAUUCUGAAUUUCCUAAUGUUUGUGUGAUGAAAAUCUGACUAGGUUGCAUUAAUCUGUCUUUUGCAUGUAUGAUAAACAUGUGUUUAUUAAUCUAUUUGUCAUAUUUAUGGAUCUACAUAUGCUGCAGUAAUACAGACCUACAUUUAAAAAAAUCUUUUGUAUGAAGGACACUACACAAAAGUGAAUUGGCUUGCAUUACAUAUGCUAUCAACUCCAACCUCCUCUUGGUAUUCCACAGUUUCAAGAGCAGCAUAGCAUUUGACAGAGUUCAUUAACUAUUGGAACUGGCUUCUGGAAUCUGUGUUUCUCCUGCAGGAGUUGAUGGCAUCACUGACAUCUAAAGCAGUGGUUCUCAACCAAGUGGUACACGUAACCCUGGGGGUAUGCAGAGGUCUUCCGGGGGGUACAUCAACUCAUCUAGAUAUUUGCCUAGUUUUACAAUAGGCUACAUAAAAAG